Molecule: non-coding RNA, 2457 nt
Organism: Lactuca sativa (garden lettuce)
Lineage: Eukaryota; Viridiplantae; Streptophyta; Magnoliopsida; Asterales; Asteraceae
Source: RefSeq, a predicted model, not a curated record
UAUUAGGGUUUCUUGAUGUUCAAAACCCAAAUUUUGGGUUUUUAAUUUUUUUGUUAGUUGAUAUGAAUUAAGUUUUAAUCUUCAUUUUAGCCAAAUGAUUAUGUUAAAUAUAUGUUAAAAAAUGAAUUGUGGAUCAAAUGCUAAUUGAAGUCGGUGUUGAUUGAAGUUCUUGUUGCAUUAGAUGUAACAUGUUAUUUGUUUUGCUAUAGAAAUUACCGCUUUCCUCUUCUCUUUCUUCUCAACCACAACGCUUCAGGAAACUGUACACCGGUUACCAUAUCUCUUCUCUAGCUUGGUCAAUCUAAAGUUGCACACAUGCUUCAAGAAACUCACAACCAUCACAUAACUACAAAAAUUCUUUAUAACUGUACUCCAAAUGUUAAUCUUGCAAGUGUUUUCUUUUGACUUGUAAAAUUAUUGGUAUUUAGGGAUUCAUAUUUUUUUUUUGAUCCCAGCUUCCAUAUGUGAAUAAGAAGUCGGAAGUAGCAGAAGGUCAUUAUUUUAACUGUAUAUGCACCCACCUUCUUCGUCCCUUUGUCAACAGUUGGGUUUUUCACCAAUUCCUGACCUAACCCCAUGAAGAGCAGAAAAGUAGACUAGGGUAAUCGAUGAUUCCAAUAGCCAAAUAAGUCUUCAUUCGGAGCUGGCAAUUCCAACUUCAGUCCUCCAUAGCCCAUCUAUGGAUUUCUUCAAAACAUUUCUCCAAAGCUCAGGUGUAAGAAGGCAUCUUAUAUUGUUGUUGAUUAUACUCGCCAAUCACGUCUUAGCAAUUAGCAUUGUUGCUUUCUACGCCCAACUUCUUCCUCUUUUAUCUACUCUUCAAAGGCAGAUGGAAUGAGCUAAGUGUCUUUGGCCUUUGGAAAUUCUGCCAAGGAAGAUGGUGCCACUAUAGCUACCAAUAUCGAGGUUUCAAUUUCCCAAUCACUUGCAAAUUGCUUAUAGUCGCAAGAAACCGCUUGCAAAUGCCUGAAACUGCUGUAGGAAACUGCUAUAGUCGUUGGUAACCACCGAAAACGGCGCAAAAUUGCUGGAAAAUGCUCCCCCACUAGCGCACCCCAGUUGACUUUCAGUCUGGAUCCGCCAAUGAUGAUAUGUUGUCGGUAUAUGUUGCGAAAAUUAUAAUUUCUAUUAUAACAAAUUAUUGAAAUUGUCCCUAUGGUUUGUGAAAAAUUGCGCAUUUUGUCUCUAAGGUUUUUUUUUACUCAGACCUUCCCUAAGUUGUGAUUUUGUAAUGUCAGUCGCCCCUAUCCCCUAUCAGACAUAAAAGGACUAUACUGCCAUUUUUAUUUUUUUUUCAUUUAUUUAUUAUUGUUUCUUUAAAAUUUAUUUGUAUUAUUAAAUUAUUCUUUAUAUUUGACAAAUACGAGAUGGAACCCCAUUUCUUGCUCCUACUUCUCUCAUUUUCGACAAACUCUGCUCGUCGGACAUCAUCUUCAACCACCUCUUCUCAUCGGUAACCACCCUUAUUCUCACUCUCACUUACCGGAGAUGAAGAUGAACAAUUGCAAUCAUAUAAAAAUCUCAGCAAACCCAAAAAAAAUACCAACCCUCGCACAUCCCAUUCAUAACCAAAACCUACAACUCUUUGGAACUAAUAUGACUCCAUUUUUCAAAUCUAAUUUCAAUCUCGAAUUCAGAAAGAGAAUCCAUAUACGGAUAAAAGAAUUUGAUUUCAUAAAGAGGGUCCAGAGACGUGAAGUUGUAAAGAAAAGGGAGGGUGGGGGUAGUGUUAGCUUCGGUAGAUGGAGACAUAUUGGUGAGAGCUAGAAAAAGGCUCAUGACAACAACAAUGGUGUUAGCACCAACGUAUCUAACUUAUGAAUGAUUGUUCAAAUCUAAUAAAAAAUAACACAAACACUAAAUCAGAGUUUAGAUCUAGGUCUGAUGGCAUAUUGUUUACUCCAGUGGCAACAACAUAGAUAUGUGAGGUCACCGGCGAAUACGGGUCUCCGAUGGUGCAGAGGUUUUUGAUUUUGGUCCCCGGUGGAUCCCUAAACCACUGAACAACUUCUAGAAACGAUGAGAUGCAGCUACAUAUGGAAAAGAUGAGAUGAAUUUUGUAUUCUGCAAAUAACUUUAGAGAAGAGAGAGGGAGAGGGAGAGUUUAGGAGGGGUUGGUCGAUUGUACCGAUGAAAGGGUGGGGGUAAAAGGGCCAUUUUAUCUUAUUGCAGUUGUUCAUCUUCAUCUCCGGUAGGUGAUGGUGGUUACCGGCGAGAACAGAGAAUAGGUGGUUGGAAAUGGCUUCCGACGAGUGGAGCUUGUCGGAAAUGGUUGCCGACAAUGAGAGAAGUAGGGACAAGAAUAUGGAGGUCCAUCUUGUAUUUGUAAAAUAUAAAUAAUAAUUGAAUAAUAAAAAUAAAGUUAAAAGAAAUAAUAAUAAAUAAAUGAAAAAAAUACAAAAAGGGCAUUAUAGUCUUUUUAUGACGUUACAAAAUCAUAACCUAAGGACUGUUCGA